GGAUUUCGGUUGAGAACGGCCGGUCCGCCGUUUGGUGUGCACUGGCUGGUCUCAACUUCCUGUAGAGGACGCGCUCUGGGUUAACGCUCGGACGCGGAGUCUACGUGGUUACUUUGAAAAAAUUAGAGUGUUCAAAGCGGGCUUACGCUUGAAUAUUUCAGCAUGGAAUAACACUAUAGGACUCCUGUCCUAUUUCGUUGGUCUCGGGACGGGAGUAAUGAUUAAGAGGAACAGUUGGGGGCAUUCGUAUUUCAUUGUCAGAGGUGAAAUUCUUGGAUUUAUGAAAGACGAACUUCUGCGAAAGCAUUUGCCAAGGAUGUUUUCAUUAAUCAAGAACGAAAGUUGGGGGCUCGAAGAUGAUUAGAUACCAUCCUAGUCUCAACCAUAAACGAUGCCGACUAGGGAUUGCAGGAUGUUAAUUGAUGACUCCUGCAGCACCUUAUGAGAAAUCAAAGUUUUUGGGUUCCGGGGGGGAGUAUGGUCGCAAGGCUGAAACUU
This 498-nucleotide ribosomal RNA is filed under the name Micromonas polaris. RNAcentral describes it as "SSU rRNA". It matches the Rfam family "Eukaryotic small subunit ribosomal RNA", at positions 636 to 1145 of the family's 1831-position model. Lineage: Eukaryota; Viridiplantae; Chlorophyta; Mamiellophyceae; Mamiellales; Mamiellaceae. The record is from RNAcentral.